Molecule: ribosomal RNA, 253 nt
Filed under: uncultured bacterium
Lineage: Bacteria
Description: partial 16S ribosomal RNA
Rfam family: Bacterial small subunit ribosomal RNA
Source: RNAcentral
UACAGAGGUCUCAAGCGUUGUUCGGAAUUACUGGGCGUAAAGGGCUCGUAGGCGGCCAACUAAGUCAGACGUGAAAUCCCUCGGCUUAACCGGGGAACUGCGUCUGAUACUGGAUGGCUAGAGGUUGGGAGAGGGAUGCGGAAUUCCAGGUGUAGCGGUGAAAUGCGUAGAUAUCUGGAGGAACACCGGUGGCGAAGGCGGCAUCCUGGACCAAUUCUGACACUGAGGAGCGAAAGCCAGGGGAGCAAACGGG